RNAcentral lists this ribosomal RNA (253 nucleotides) under uncultured bacterium. RNAcentral describes it as "partial 16S ribosomal RNA". It matches the Rfam family "Bacterial small subunit ribosomal RNA", at positions 524 to 776 of the family's 1533-position model. The record is from RNAcentral.
UACAGAGGGGGCAAGCGUUGUUCGGAAUUACUGGGCGUAAAGGGCGCGUAGGCGGCCUGCUAAGUCGAACGUGAAAUCCCUGGGCUCAACCCAGGAACUGCGUCCGAUACUGGUUGGCUUGAAUCCGGGAGAGGGAUGUGGAAUUCCAGGUGUAGCGGUGAAAUGCGUAGAGAUGUGGAGGAACACCAAUGGCGAAGGCAGCCUUCUGGGCCAACACUGACGCUCAUGCACGAAAGCGUGGGGAGCAAACAGG